RNAcentral lists this ribosomal RNA (129 nucleotides) under Chloroflexota bacterium. RNAcentral's name for it is "partial 23S ribosomal RNA". It matches the Rfam family "Bacterial large subunit ribosomal RNA", at positions 2800 to 2925 of the family's 2925-position model. The record is from RNAcentral. Lineage: Bacteria; Bacillati; Chloroflexota.
CAAGACGAGCCCCCCCACCGAGUCAGAUCGGGUAAGGCCCCCGGGAGACUACCGGGUGGACAGGCGGCAGGUGGACGGCGGGUAACCGACCGGAGCCAAGCCGUGCUGAUGGCCGAGGGCAAUCACUCC